This is a non-coding RNA of Pelobates cultripes (western spadefoot toad), 249 nucleotides long. The record is from the annotation of a GenBank genome assembly. Lineage: Eukaryota; Metazoa; Chordata; Amphibia; Anura; Pelobatidae.
GUCAUGUGUCAGAUUUUCUGCAAAGUAUGUGUUUAAUUGUUUCUGGACAUCCGCUACAACCAGCGGGUCUUUGAGCAGGGAGGCGUUAAGCCUCCAUGUCCAAGGGGUAAGGCUGAGUAGGCCGUCUAGAUAGAUAGCAAUGUCUGCAUGGUCGGAUCAGGCAAUGGAUCCUAUUUCCGUUUUUCGAGUUUUCGUGAAGCCUGUUUGGUUAGUCAGAAACAUGUCAAUGCGCGAGUAGGUAUCGUGGGG